RNAcentral lists this transfer RNA (69 nucleotides) under Cerithidea tonkiniana. Its description in RNAcentral is "tRNA-Gln". The record is from RNAcentral. Lineage: Eukaryota; Metazoa; Mollusca; Gastropoda; Potamididae.
UUAACAGCGGUGUUGGGGCACGAAGAAUUUUGAUUUCUUAGGCGAGGGUUAUUAUGCCCCCUUGUUAAA